CCUACGUGAGGCUGCAGUGAGGAAUAUUGGUCAAUGGCCGGAAGGCUGACCCAGCCAAGCCGCGUGAAGGACGAAGGUGCCAAGCAUUGUAAACUUCUUUUGUCAAGGGACAAAAUCAGGCUCGAGAGCCUGACCGAGGGUACUUGAAGAAAAAGCAUCGGCUAACUCCGUUCCAGCCGCCGCGGUAAUACGGGGGAUGCGAGCGUUAUCCGGAUUUAUGGGGUUUAACGGGUGCGUAGGCGGGCUGUUAAGUCAGCGGUAAAAGCCCGGGGCUCAACCCCGGCGAGCCGUUGAAACUGGCUGUCUUGAGAUGUCGAGAGGUAUGCGGAAUGCGCAGUGUAGCGGUGAAAUGCUUAGAUAUUGCGCAGAACUCCGAUUGCGAAGGCGGAUUGCUGGACAGUAACUGACGCUGAGGCGCGAAAGCGUGGGGAGCAAACAGGAUUAGAUACCCGUGUAGUC
This 459-nucleotide ribosomal RNA is filed under the name uncultured bacterium. RNAcentral's name for it is "partial 16S ribosomal RNA". It matches the Rfam family "Bacterial small subunit ribosomal RNA", at positions 338 to 795 of the family's 1533-position model. The record is from RNAcentral.